Clarias gariepinus (North African catfish) is the source of this 2801-nucleotide RNA transcript. RefSeq lists it as uncharacterized. The transcript has 7 exons. Lineage: Eukaryota; Metazoa; Chordata; Actinopteri; Siluriformes; Clariidae. The record is from RefSeq and is a predicted model, not a curated record.
GUUUCGCUCUCCACUGUUUCACCAUUUCCUCUGUAUUUUUCACCUGACACAGAGCAGAAAAGGACGACUUUACCAUCAUGCUUUUGUUUCUGGUUGUGAUGGGUUUGCUCUCAGAGAAUCUGUGUUCUUCAUCUUUAGAAGCAGAUCCUGGAGAUAAUGUCACGCUUUGGUGCCAGCAUGAGCUGGAUCAUGCAGGUUACAUCUUCUGGUUCUACCAGGACCUCAGUACUGCUGCUUUAAGUACCACUUCAGUACCGGCUCUUAUUGGCUGUAGGCAUUUUAAGAUGUCAAGCCCAGCACAUGUGUGUUACUUCUACAGUGGCAGAGAGCGCAUGGUGAUGUCUGUUCAAGGCAAGAACACGUCUCUCACCAUCACUGCAGUAAAUGUCUCUGAUACAGGACUCUACUACUGCGGGUUUAUGCAGCUCAACCAAAUCUCAUUCAGCAAUUCUAGCUACUUGAGGAUGAAAGGUGGAAAUGAAACACUUCCCAAAAGCACAGACACAACACCAGUACUACUACCAGGUUCAGACACUUCGUCAGUGUUCUUCAUCCUGAAUGUGGCGUUCAGUUCAGCGACUCUAAUUCUUUUUUGUGUCCUGAUCUUCCUCACACUGAUGUACAGAACAACACACAAAGUUGACAAUCCUGAAGCCACAAAUACGUCAAACCUGGUUCAAACUAAUAGGAAGCCAACAGUAACUCAAGUAACAUCUUGUUACAACCGAGGCAUGCAGAAGUGCUUCUCUGAACACACAAUACGUCGACCUUUGAAGCAGAUGGACUACAGCAGCAGAAGAUCACAUCAGCUAAGAGCAGAAAGAACAGGAAACGGAGGAUACAAUUCAGAUGGACUCCACUAAAAUCGGACAAUAGACAAUCAGGAAAUCUUGACUUAUUUCUGAUGAGUCUUGAUUUCUGCUGUGAGAUUCAGAUGGCCGGGCCAGAAUUUGUCGGGAACAACAUGAAAGCGUGGAUCCAUCCUGCCUUGUAUGAGCAGUUCAGGCUGGUGGUGUAAUGCUGGGGAGUUUUUCUUGGCACACUUUCCCAACCAAUUGAGCAUGGUUUAAAUGCCACAGACUACCUGAGUAUUAUUUCUGACCGUGUCCAUCCCUUUAAGAGCACAGGAUAACGUGCCAUGUCACAAAGCUAAUCAUCUCAAACUAAUUUCUUGAACAUGACAGUGAGGUCACUGUACUCACACAACCUCCACAGUCACCAGAUAUCAAUCUAGGCCAUAAAGAAUUCAGGCAGAUCUGAAGGCAAAAGUGGUAGAAUCCGGUACUACUAAGGUUGUACCUAAUGAACUGGCCGGUUAGAUUCAAACUCCCAGCCCUGCCUGUGCUAAGUGACGGCUCUAACCACUGAGAGACUAAGGCUGUUUGCUGUGGGCUGCACACAUUUUCAUGUGUGAAACAGUCUGAAGUGAGAUACUGUAUACACAGAACUGCCUAACCAAAAAAAAAUAAAAAUAAAUAAGAAGGCACAUCACUUUAUGUGCCAGUCGCUCUGAGAUAGGGUCACUAUGGACGCAUCUGACCACACAACCUUUUUCCAUCGCUCCAAAGGCCAAUCUUUAUGCUCAUCAGUGUGCAUCACUAGCACACUGAUGCCUUUGUUCUGAUGAAUCUCACUAAGAAGUGGUUUUCCUAUGGAAACACAGCUGUUUUGUCCCAGGCCUGUUCUCAUCACGUUUUGUAUGUAUGGAAAUGCUCUUACUGUCACUAUUAAUCAUAGCUCUGGUAUUUACUGUUGAUUUUUUUCCCCAUGCACCUUCUCUAUUUCCAUUCAUGAUUUCAUUUGUUUCACAAAGUUGACAGUUAUUCCCCAACUAUUCCUCCCGGUUUUGGUAGCCCAAUAAUAAAAAUGGGGCCUUUUUUGUGGUCAGGCAGUGAUAAAGUAGGACACCAAAACUUCUUCUAAUGAAUAAUAGGCUUCAUUAUAAAGGUUACACUAAUAAAUAAUGGAGAUCAAUCUUGAAACUUGACACAUGAUCUAACUCCAUGGCUUUAAAAACUUUAAAGGUGGGACAUUUGUCUUCAUUAAUUUAUUUUAGACAACCCCUGCAUAUGUGCUCUUACCCUCUUCAUCUAUUAAGGAUUUUACUUCUCAUUUUCAACAAUUCUGGAAGGCCUGAAAAAAUUUCAGCUUGUCUAGGCGAUGGAAUAUGUAUGUUUCACUUAUCUUUUGAUAGAGAUGUGCAUCUCUCUGCUCUAAAUUCUAAAGAUUAAGGCUAUUUUUUUCAGCAGUAGGUAGCAUCAUGGUAAAGAUUUGAGUCCAUGGUGGUCGUUGAUUGUGUAUUUGCACAGACAGUUCCAUCUGAGGAGAAAAUGCCGGCCAUGGUUGGAGAAACCACCUUGCAUGCUGUAAAGUUGUAUUAUUUUUGGUAUAAUGGACUUUCUCAUUGCACUGGUCAGGCCAAAGAAGUGGCAUCACUGGCUGAUGUUUCACUUUAUCGACAUGACCAUCAUGACUGCUUGGCUGCUCUACAAGAGAAAUUGCAGCAGCAUUGGGAUGAAAAAGAAAGGAACAGAUAAGGCUUUAUACAGUAUUUUUAAGUUGUAUAUCGCAGAAAGCUUGUGCAAAAAUGUCAAAAAUCUGGCAAGAGAGGUUGUCCUAGUCCCACAACUGCUAGGGGGUAUAUAAAUAAAAGGGAGAAAGGACCUGCCACACCCACUUCUGUUCUUGAAAGGGAAAUGUGAGGGAUAUACAGGGUACACCUGAAGCCAAGUGACAAAAAAUGUGACGUAAAUCUUUGUUUCACAUCCCCCAGCAACUGUUUCCUGAGGCUCCAUACAGAA